Molecule: ribosomal RNA, 429 nt
Filed under: Leptodactylus petersii group sp. ABGD cluster 125
Lineage: Eukaryota; Metazoa; Chordata; Amphibia; Anura; Leptodactylidae
Description: partial large subunit ribosomal RNA
Rfam family: Archaeal large subunit ribosomal RNA
Source: RNAcentral
CUUGCAACCAAUAAGAGGUCCAGCCUGCCCAGUGACUCUGUUCAACGGCCGCGGUAUCCUAACCGUGCAAAGGUAGCGCAAUCACUUGUCCUUUAAAUAAGGACUAGUAUGAACGGCACCACGAAAGCUAUACUGUCUCCUUCCCCUAAUCAGUGAAACUAAACCCCCCGUGAAGAAGCGGGGAUAAUUUUAUAAGACGAGAAGACCCUAUGGAGCUUUAAACACACAACAAUUGUAACGGACUCCCUCCUUCUUCCCCGGAAGAAACUGCCUACCCGAACAUUUUGAUUGCAAGUUUUUAGGUUGGGGUGACCGCGGAGCAAAAAUUAACCUCCAUAGUGAACGGGAUUCUUUCCCCUAAACCCAGGGCCACAACCCUAAGGAUCAAUAAAUUGACACCCAUUGACCCAAUACUUUUGACCAACGAAC